UACGUAGGGGGCAAGCGUUGUCCGGAAUCAUUGGGCGUAAAGCGCGUGUAGGCGGUUCUGUAAGUCUGCUGUGAAAGUCCAGGGCUCAACCCUGGAGUGCCGGUGGAUACUGCAGGGCUAGAGUACGGAAGAGGCGAGUGGAAUUCCCGGUGUAGCGGUGAAAUGCGCAGAUAUCGGGAGGAACACCUAUUGCGAAGGCAGCUCGCUGGGACGUUACUGACGCUGAGACGCGAAAGCGUGGGGAGCAAACAGG
This 253-nucleotide ribosomal RNA is filed under the name uncultured bacterium. Its description in RNAcentral is "partial 16S ribosomal RNA". It matches the Rfam family "Bacterial small subunit ribosomal RNA", at positions 524 to 776 of the family's 1533-position model. The record is from RNAcentral.